RNAcentral lists this unclassified non-coding RNA (224 nucleotides) under uncultured fungus. RNAcentral's name for it is "sequence contains ITS1, 5.8S rRNA gene". The record is from RNAcentral. Lineage: Eukaryota; Fungi.
GUGUUUUAUUUAUAUUCUUUCAGCCCUCAGGGAGCUUCCAGAAGAACGUUCACAUACAAAGUGUAUAAAGAUGUAAAAACGUAGACCAAUUUCUUGGCCUACCAGAGGUGCACAGGUGUAAGAGGGAAAUGGUCAAGAGGUGUGCACAUACCCUCGAAAGGGUCAGCAACAAAACCUCCUUCGAAAUUUCAAUAAUGAUCCUUCCGCAGGUUCACCUACGGAAA